AGUAGGUGCGGUAAUGGCCUACCAAGGCGGUGAUCUGUAGGUGGUUUGAGAGGACGACCAGCCACACUGGGAAUGAGACACGUCCCAGACUCCUACGGGAGGCAGCAGUGGGGAAUUUUCGACAAUGGGGGGAACCCUGAUCGAGCCAUCUGGAGUGUGGGACGAAGGCCUUCGGGUUGUAAACCACUUUUCUCAAUGAAGAAAAGUAUUAGGCUAAUACCUUAAGAUGCUGACGGUAGUUGAGGAAUAAGCACCGCCUAAUUACGUGCCAGCAGCCGCGGUAAUACGUAGGGUGCGAGCGUUAAUCUGAAUUACUGGGCGUAAAGGGUGCGCAGGCGGCUUGGAAAGAACGGUGUGAAAUCCCGGGGCUCAACCUCGGAACUGCACUAUUAACUGCCAAGCUAGAGUAUGUCAGAGGGGGGUGGAAUUCCGCGUGUAGCAGUGAAAUGCGUAGAUAUGCGGAGGAACACCGAUGGGGAAGGCAGCCCCCUGGGAUGGUAGUGACGCUCAGGCACGAAAGCGUGGGUAGCGAACAGGAUUAGAUACCCCGGUAGUCCACGCCCUAAACGAUGUCAACUAGCUGUGGGGCCGGUU
RNAcentral lists this ribosomal RNA (594 nucleotides) under uncultured bacterium. Its description in RNAcentral is "bacterial SSU rRNA". It matches the Rfam family "Bacterial small subunit ribosomal RNA", at positions 247 to 833 of the family's 1533-position model. The record is from RNAcentral.